CCAACGGCCCUUUUCAGGGCCAUGUAAAUAGAAAAUUGUAGAAUA
This is a non-coding RNA of Camponotus floridanus (Florida carpenter ant), 45 nucleotides long. The record is from Rfam. Lineage: Eukaryota; Metazoa; Arthropoda; Insecta; Hymenoptera; Formicidae.